UUGUCCGGAAUUACUGGGCGUAAAGGGCGCGUAGGCGGCAUAUUAAGUUAGAUGUGAAAUUCCCGGGCUUAACCUGGGCGUUGCAUUUAAAACUGAUAAGCUUGAGUGCCGGAGAGGAAAGCGGAACUCCUAGUGUAGCGGUGAAAUGCGUAGAUAUUAGGAGGAACAUCAGUGGCGAAGGCGGCUUUCUGGACGGUAACUGACGCUGAGGCGCGAAAGCGUGGGGAGCAAACAGGAUUAGAUACCCUGGUAGUCCACGCCGUAAACGAUGGAUACUAGGUGUAGAGGGUAUCGACUCCAUCUGUGCCGGAGCAAACGCAAUAAGUAUUCCCCCUGG
RNAcentral lists this ribosomal RNA (337 nucleotides) under uncultured bacterium. RNAcentral's name for it is "bacterial SSU rRNA". It matches the Rfam family "Bacterial small subunit ribosomal RNA", at positions 541 to 876 of the family's 1533-position model. The record is from RNAcentral.